GCAUGCGCUACUUGCACGCUAUGACGUCAACCAUCGCGCGAACCAUUCCCGUUUGUCGUCGCCAUUGCUGAAUUGGAUCAAGAGAAUACUGGCUACUGGAAGAAGUCACUACGCAACAGAUUCAGGAAUUGCAGGAAGUGUCAUGAACGUGAUAAUCCAUUAGGACAAAUGGAAGCAAAAAAAGGGACUACACCCAAACCAGACAAAGCUGCAGGCAAACACAUGUAUGGCAUAAAGAAAGUACCUUCCUGCAUCCCCAGAAGGUGAGGAUGAAGAAACGAUCAAUGCUCACAUCAAGAUGCUUCAGAAUGAAUCCAGAAAAACAAGACAGGACAGCUUGAUGAUAGACAAUCUACUAACUUUAGCCCAUAGGUGCAAGGGUAUCAUCAACAGCAACUGGACUGAAUCCUACUUGAAGGAUAUGUACCCUUACCUUUUCCGUGAAGAUGAGAGAAACAUAAGACUGCCCUGUUUAAAUUCCCUGUUUAUUCUUUUCAUUUGAUGUUGAAAGAGUUUGAGAGACUGUCAGAGGACCCAAUUAAGCAGAAGUUGGAAGCAGGACAUUUGAAUAUGCUGAUCCAUUACUAGAGAUAUGUAAGACUCCCAAGCAAGGUUUGGAGCUCAAAAACCGGAUCUUGGCUGCAGCAGCAGAAAAUGAAGACACCAGGAAAAUGAUCAAAUCAUGUGGAGCACUUCUGUUGAUUCCUACUAUUUUUGGAGAGAAGGCAUUGCUUUGUCAGCAUAGCCAGGAUAAAAAAGGGAACAAUCGCCAAAAUCAUCUACAAAAGUAAGCCUGACAGUGCAGGUCUGACUCUGAGCAGUGAUCAUGAAAAAUUCACGGAAAUUCUGCAAUCAUCCUAUAUUACAGCAGAGAAUGAAGUCAUCUGCGAGAAAACCACCUACCUCAUGUCAGCAGUCUCUGCUUAUGUUGACCCAUUAUGUAUUCAACUGAUCAUACACCCCCAAGAUGGGUAACACCCUCACAUUCAUUCAGAAGAUUCUGAUGAACAUAGAUUCCACAUCUCAACCCUCAUCCAAGGUCGUAAGAAGCCUGUAUGACUUAAAUGGUGUCCGAAAUGCUGAUUCCAGUAGUUCUUCAGUUUAAGAGAAAUUAAUUACUUGGGUGAUGCUACUGCAACACAGCUGAUCACACUUUCUCUUCGUGCAAUCACCUUAAGUGUUGUAUCUGUCUUUUAUGUGCAAAAUAGAUUGAAAUAGAUACGACAGGUUGACCGUGAAUUUAGACAUCAAGUAUGUGCAUUAUUUCGCUUUGCUUCUGUACAAAUUUCAGUGGCCCUUGAAUUGGAAAUCUUUUCAUAUCCCAAGAAUUACGUAUAAAUGCUUAAUGAAAUUUUUGUCACAGAUAAAAUAGGAUUUU
Long non-coding RNA from Lytechinus variegatus (green sea urchin), 1378 nucleotides. RefSeq lists it as uncharacterized. Lineage: Eukaryota; Metazoa; Echinodermata; Echinoidea; Temnopleuroida; Toxopneustidae. The record is from RefSeq and is a predicted model, not a curated record. The transcript is spliced from 5 exons.